RNAcentral lists this long non-coding RNA (1305 nucleotides) under Dasypus novemcinctus (nine-banded armadillo). RNAcentral describes it as "lncRNA (ENSDNOG00000052323.1)". The record is from RNAcentral. Lineage: Eukaryota; Metazoa; Chordata; Mammalia; Cingulata; Dasypodidae.
CCCGGAUUCGGGCUCGCACUCGCCGCCGCUCCCGCCCGCCCAGGCCGCGUUUGGAGGAGACUGACCGCGGUGGUCCCAGCGCGCAGCGUCCGGCGCUGCGCGGGCCCCUGCCCUCCGCCCCCUCUGCCCUGGGAGCCCGGCCUGAGCGCUCACCUGCUGCGCCUCCAGCUCUACGUAUCCUGGCGCCGCCGAGGCCAAGGCUGGUCACCAUCUCUUAGGGAUUGUGUUGAUCCACAUUUUAGAGGGAUAACCUGCCCCUUUGUUGUCAAAGAUUUGGGGAAGAGGACUAGCUGGAAGAUGAGCCUGCAUAGUAUUUCAGGUAUUCACCAGGGACUCUGAAGUAUUUAGCCAAGGGCUCCUGUCAGAAAACAUGGUGGGGUGGGAGGAGGAGAGACUUGUGCUCAGCACUAAGACCACUUUCCCACAUUAAUGUCCACUUUGAUUGAUUCUUACUGGAAGGUGAACAUAUUAACUGUUGUUUGGAUGAAAAAUACUACUUUCAUGAAAAAUAAAUUACUCUUGAAAAUCACUGAAGUAAAUGAUCAUAGUUGAUUCCAGAAAAGAGGAAAAAAAAAUCCUGCACCGAGAAAAGAUUUCAUGUGUUAGAUCACUGUUAUAUUAAGGAAGAAAAAAGAAAAUCUGUAGGCAAAUUCUAUUUAUAAGAAUAAAGAACAAAGUUGAAAUGAAAAAUGUAAAAAUAGUUUAGCCUGAUAAAUUGGACAAUCAGUGGUACUACCUCAACAAAUGAAGUAGGAACAACAAGGCAGUGUAGUGGUUGAGGGAAAGUUAGGAGUACAUUUUUGAUGUAUGAAAAAUGAAGUGCUUAUUGCAUAUUUGCAUAAAGAUGAAGAGAAAGUUGGAAAUACAAGACUGGGAGUCAUUACAUGAGAAUGAUGAUAAAGAUUUGAUAGUAAAAAUUAAAGCUAAGAAAUGAAAUGAAUUCUCCCAGAUAUACCAGGUGAAAGAAGGAUUUUUUUUACAAAAACAUGAUAUUAUGGUAGAAUAUAAAGAAAUAUCAAAGUUUACAUGUUGCUAAGUUAGAGGAGCUGAUUCUGCACUAGGGGGAAGAAUAGUUCAGAAAGGGAAGAGAAGCAGCAAUGCAGUGCCAUGGGGAGACAUCCUGCAAUGGGCCCCGUCACCAGUGCAAAGUAUCAGAGCACAGAGGAUGACCAGUGAUGAAGUGAGGCUCAGUCCAAUUACAGUAAUUGAACUUCUGAAGAAUCUACAAACUGUAACUCUCUAAUACUUAACGUUUCCUUCAACAAUACAACUUCCAUUGUCUUUGUUUCUCAGACAACAGAUAAA